RNAcentral lists this ribosomal RNA (574 nucleotides) under uncultured bacterium. RNAcentral describes it as "bacterial SSU rRNA". It matches the Rfam family "Bacterial small subunit ribosomal RNA", at positions 66 to 653 of the family's 1533-position model. The record is from RNAcentral.
ACGGGAGAGAGGGAGCUUGCUUCCUUGAUCGAGUGGCGAACGGGUGAGUAACGCGUGAGGAACCUGCCUCAAAGAGGGGGACAACAGUUGGAAACGACUGCUAAUACCGCAUAAGCCCACGGCUCGGCAUCGAGCAGAGGGUAAAGGAGCAAUCCGCUUUGAGAUGGCCUCGCGUCCGAUUAGCUAGUUGGUGAGGUAAUGGCCCACCAAGGCGACGAUCGGUAGCCGGACUGAGAGGUUGAACGGCCACAUUGGGACUGAGACACGGCCCAGACUCCUACGGGAGGCAGCAGUGGGGAAUAUUGCACAAUGGGGGAAACCCUGAUGCAGCGACGCCGCGUGGAGGAAGAAGGUCUUCGGAUUGUAAACUCCUGUUGUUGAGGAAGAUAAUGACGGUACUCAACAAGGAAGUGACGGCUAACUACGUGCCAGCAGCCGCGGUAAAACGUAGGUCACAAGCGUUGUCCGGAAUUACUGGGUGUAAAGGGAGCGCAGGCGGGCGAUCAAGUUGGAAGUGAAAUCCAUGGGCUCAACCCAUGAACUGCUUUCAAAACUGAUUGUCUUGAGUAGUGCA